CGUCGGUGCAAAUAGGUGUUUUGUGGUUAUGUAAGGUUCCCCUGAAUCUGCUCUUUUUAUGUUGAUAUGAUGUCAUCGUCGGUGCAGAUAUUUUUUGGGCGUUGUGUCCAUGCUUACUGCACUUUUAUUGUUGCUCUUAUGAUCUUGUUAUUCCUUUUCUUGCUAGUUGUCCGAUAAACGGAAACAACAACAAUGGAAAAUCCAGCAGCAAAAGAGUACAUGUUUAGUACCAUUUCCAGCAUCUUGUUCAGUACCUUGUUCAUCAUCAUCUAAAAAUUUCUGCACAUCUUCUUCAGUUCCAGGAAUGGUCAAAGUCAAGGUUAUGUGCUUCGUCUUCUUGGUCCUCUU
This is a long non-coding RNA of Lolium rigidum, 348 nucleotides long. RefSeq lists it as uncharacterized. The record is from RefSeq and is a predicted model, not a curated record. Lineage: Eukaryota; Viridiplantae; Streptophyta; Magnoliopsida; Poales; Poaceae. The transcript is spliced from 3 exons.